GCUCUCUUUGCAAGGAGGUCUUCACACAAGAUUAUCACAGAACCCAACAAGCUUUAUUCAUUCAUAACAUUAUAUAGACAAGGUACAUACAUCAUGAAAAAGAAUGUCGAACAAACUAAAGAGGCAAGAGCCAGCAACACUCAUCAAACCACCGCCGGCCUCUCAAAGGAAAAACUCUCUGCUCCAGCCAUCCAUCUACUGCAUCAUCGCCGCCGCGAGAAGGGACACCAGUGCCGAGGACACCAAGGCCAGCGCGGAGACGCUGGCGGCCGCGCCGGCGUCAGGCGCCGGAGCGGGGGCUGAGGAAGGCGCCAUGAAGUCCUGCGCCGACGCAGAGGCGAAGAAGACGGCCACGGCCAGGAGCAGCACGCCGACGCGUGGAGCCAUCACGACCUUGCGCUGUAGCUUGAGGGCUUGCGAGUCGAUGGGAGGAUGGGGGAGGAGGGGAGUGAGUAAUAUGGGGGCGCCGAGGUGGGAUGCGAGGGAAUGAGGGAUGGUGGGGGCGCCGUGGGGUUUAUAUAGCAGGCCCG
This 530-nucleotide ribosomal RNA is filed under the name Triticum aestivum (bread wheat). RNAcentral's name for it is "partial small subunit ribosomal RNA". Lineage: Eukaryota; Viridiplantae; Streptophyta; Magnoliopsida; Poales; Poaceae. The record is from RNAcentral.